This 207-nucleotide unclassified non-coding RNA is filed under the name Hevea brasiliensis (rubber tree). Lineage: Eukaryota; Viridiplantae; Streptophyta; Magnoliopsida; Malpighiales; Euphorbiaceae. The record is from RNAcentral.
GGUCUUUUACCAGAUUCUGACCCCGGAAAACCUUCACCUGCCUGCUCACUGUUCUUAGGAGGGUCAAAGGAUGCACAAACCUCAUGUGCUAUAACUUCCACUGAUUCUUUCCGAGAAAUAACUUCAUUUGGCUGCUUCUUGUUACUGAGAGGCUCAAUGGAUGCACUUGUCUCUUCUGCUGUCACUACUGAUUGCUCCCUUUCUGUU